CCCUUAGAUGUUCUGGGCCGCACGCGCGCUACACUGUUCGACGCAGCGAGUCUUAACCUUGACCGAAAGGUUUGGGUAAUCUUCAGCAAAGUCGAACGUGAUGGGGAUCGAUCAUUGCAAUUAUUGAUCGUGAACGAGGAAUUCCUAGUAAGUGCAAGUCAUCAGCUUGCGCUGAUUACGUCCCUGCCCUUUGUACACACCGCCCGUCGCUACUACCGAUUGAAUGGUUUAGUGAGAUCUCUGGAUUGACGCGGGCUAGGGGGCGACCCUUGGCCAGACUGUUGAGAAACUGCUCAAACUUGAUCAUUUAGAGGAAGUAAAAGUCGUAACA
Molecule: ribosomal RNA, 331 nt
Filed under: uncultured eukaryote
Lineage: Eukaryota
Description: partial 18S ribosomal RNA
Rfam family: Eukaryotic small subunit ribosomal RNA
Source: RNAcentral